AUUGAACGCUAGCGGGAUGCCUUACACAUGCAAGUCGAACGGAGUGGCGAACGGGUGAGUAAUGUAUCGGAACGUGCCCAGUAGCGGGGGAUAACUACGCGAAAGCGUAGCUAAUACCGCAUACUAUUGGAGCGGCCGAUAUCGGAUUAGCUAGUUGGGGGGGUAACGGCUCACCAAGGCGACGAUCCGUAGCUGGUUUGAGGGGAAGACCGGCCAAACGGGAACGGGGACACGGCCCGACCUCCUCCGGGGGGAAGCAGUGGGGAAUUUUGGAAAAGGGGGGAAACCUGGAUCAAGCCAGCCGGGGUGUUGGUUGAGGGCCUUCGGGUGGAAAAGCAUUUUUGGCAGGAAGGCGGUACCGGAAGAAUAAGCACCGGCUAACUACGUGCCAGCAGCCGCGGUAAUUC
RNAcentral lists this ribosomal RNA (407 nucleotides) under uncultured bacterium. Its description in RNAcentral is "partial 16S ribosomal RNA". It matches the Rfam family "Bacterial small subunit ribosomal RNA", at positions 29 to 526 of the family's 1533-position model. The record is from RNAcentral.